RNAcentral lists this ribosomal RNA (302 nucleotides) under uncultured bacterium. RNAcentral describes it as "partial 16S ribosomal RNA". It matches the Rfam family "Bacterial small subunit ribosomal RNA", at positions 508 to 807 of the family's 1533-position model. The record is from RNAcentral.
GCAGUCGCCACGGUAAAACAGAGGAUGCAAGCGUUAUCCGGAAUGAUUGGGCGUAAAGCGUGCGCAGGCGGUUGUGUAAGACAGGUGUGAAAUCCCCGGGCUUAACCUGGGAACUGCGCUUGUGACUGCACAGCUAGAGUAUGGCAGAGGGGGGUGGAAUUCCACGUGUAGCAGUGAAAUGCGUAGAGAUGUGGAGGAACACCGAUGGCGAAGGCAGCCCCCUGGGCCAAUACUGACGCUCAUGCACGAAAGCGUGGGGAGCAAACAGGAUUAGAGACCCGUGUAGUCCCUGUCUCUUAUAC